UACGUAGGCAGCAAGCGUUGUUCGGAGUUACUGGGCGUAAAGGGUGUGUAGGCGGUUCUUUAAGUUUUGGGUGAAAUCUCCCGGCUCAACUGGGAGGGUGCGCCGAAUACUGAGGGACUAGAGUACGGGAGAGGAAAGUGGAAUUCCUGGUGUAGCGGUGAAAUGCGUAGAUAUCAGGAGGAACACCGGUGGUGUAGACGGCUCUCUAGUACGGUACUGACGCUGAGACGCGAAAGCGUGGGGAGCGAACAGG
Molecule: ribosomal RNA, 253 nt
Filed under: uncultured bacterium
Lineage: Bacteria
Description: partial 16S ribosomal RNA
Rfam family: Bacterial small subunit ribosomal RNA
Source: RNAcentral